GAUGAACGCUGGCGGCGUGCCUAAUACAUGCAAGUCGAGCGAACGGACGAGAAGCUUGCUUCUCUGAUGUUAGCGGCGGACGGGUGAGUAACACGUGGAUAACCUACCUAUGAGACUGGGAUAACUUCGGGAAACCGGAGCUAAUACCGGAUGAUAUUUUGAACCGCAUGGUUCAAAAGUGAAAGACGGUCUUGCUGUCACUUAUAGAUGGAUCCGCGCUGCAUUAGCUAGUUGGUAAGGUAACGGCUUACCAAGGCAACGAUGCAUAGCCGACCUGAGAGGGUGAUCGGCCACACUGGAACUGAGACACGGUCCAGACUCCUACGGGAGGCAGCAGUAGGGAAUCUUCCGCAAUGGGCGAAAGCCUGACGGAGCAACGCCGCGUGAGUGAUGAAGGUCUUCGGAUCGUAAAACUCUGUCAUUAGGGAAGAACAUAUGUGUAAGUAACUGUGCACAUCUUGACGGUACCUAAUCAGAAAGCCACGGCUAACUACG
Molecule: ribosomal RNA, 495 nt
Filed under: uncultured bacterium
Lineage: Bacteria
Description: partial 16S ribosomal RNA
Rfam family: Bacterial small subunit ribosomal RNA
Source: RNAcentral